RNAcentral lists this ribosomal RNA (1565 nucleotides) under Salmonella enterica subsp. enterica serovar Newport. RNAcentral describes it as "partial 23S ribosomal RNA". It matches the Rfam family "Bacterial large subunit ribosomal RNA", at positions 677 to 2141 of the family's 2925-position model. The record is from RNAcentral. Lineage: Bacteria; Pseudomonadati; Pseudomonadota; Gammaproteobacteria; Enterobacterales; Enterobacteriaceae.
CCGAGUCUUAAUUGGGCGUUAAGUUGCAGGGUAUAGACCCGAAACCCGGUGAUCUAGCCAUGGGCAGGUUGAAGGUUGGGUAACACUAACUGGAGGACCGAACCGACUAAUGUUGAAAAAUUAGCGGAUGACCUGUGGCUGGGGGUGAAAGGCCAAUCAAACCGGGAGAUAGCUGGUUCUCCCCGAAAGCUAUUUAGGUAGCGCCUCGUGAAUUCAUCUCCGGGGGUAGAGCACUGUUUCGGCUAGGGGGCCAUCCCGGCUUACCAACCCGAUGCAAACUGCGAAUACCGGAGAAUGUUAUCACGGGAGACACACGGCGGGUGCUAACGUCCGUCGUGAAGAGGGAAACAACCCAGACCGCCAGCUAAGGUCCCAAAGUCAUGGUUAAGUGGGAAACGAUGUGGGAAGGCCCAGACAGCCAGGAUGUUGGCUUAGAAGCAGCCAUCAUUUAAAGAAAGCGUAAUAGCUCACUGGUCGAGUCGGCCUGCGCGGAAGAUGUAACGGGGCUAAACCAUGCACCGAAGCUGCGGCAGCGAACGUAUCACUUAAAGCGAUUCAGCGGGUUACGAUUGACGGAGCGAAGCGACGUCAAAGCGUAUACAAAGUCGAGUCGGUUUAAGGAUACGUUCGUUGGGUAGGGGAGCGUUCUGUAAGCCUGCGAAGGUGGCCUGUGAGGGUUGCUGGAGGUAUCAGAAGUGCGAAUGCUGACAUAAGUAACGAUAAAGCGGGUGAAAAGCCCGCUCGCCGGAAGACCAAGGGUUCCUGUCCAACGUUAAUCGGGGCAGGGUGAGUCGACCCCUAAGGCGAGGCCGAAAGGCGUAGUCGAUGGGAAACAGGUUAAUAUUCCUGUACUUGGUGUUACUGCGAAGGGGGGACGGAGAAGGCUAUGUUGGCCGGGCGACGGUUGUCCCGGUUUAAGCGUGUAGGUGUGUGUUCCAGGUAAAUCCGGUUCACUUUAACACUGAGGCGUGAUGACGAGGCACUACGGUGCUGAAGCAACAAAUGCCCUGCUUCCAGGAAAAGCCUCUAAGCAUCAGGUAACAUCAAAUCGUACCCCAAACCGACACAGGUGGUCAGGUAGAGAAUACCAAGGCGCUUGAGAGAACUCGGGUGAAGGAACUAGGCAAAAUGGUGCCGUAACUUCGGGAGAAGGCACGCUGACACGUAGGUGAAGUGAUUUACUCAUGGAGCUGAAGUCAGUCGAAGAUACCAGCUGGCUGCAACUGUUUAUUAAAAACACAGCACUGUGCAAACACGAAAGUGGACGUAUACGGUGUGACGCCUGCCCGGUGCCGGAAGGUUAAUUGAUGGGGUCAGCGCAAGCGAAGCUCCUGAUCGAAGCCCCGGUAAACGGCGGCCGUAACUAUAACGGUCCUAAGGUAGCGAAAUUCCUUGUCGGGUAAGUUCCGACCUGCACGAAUGGCGUAAUGAUGGCCAGGCUGUCUCCACCCGAGACUCAGUGAAAUUGAACUCGCUGUGAAGAUGCAGUGUACCCGCGGCAAGACGGAAAGACCCCGUGAACCUUUACUAUAGCUUGACACUGAACAUUGAGCCUUGAUGUGUAG